AUUGAACGCUGGCGGCAGGCUUAACACAUGCAAGUCGAGCGGGGUGAUGGUGCUUGCACUAUCACUUAGCGGCGGACGGGUGAGUAAUGCUUAGGAAUCUGCCUAUUAGUGGGGGACAACAUCUCGAAAGGGAUGCUAAUACCGCAUACGUCCUACGGGAGAAAGCAGGGGAUCACUUGUGACCUUGUGCUAAUAGAUGAGCCUAAGUCGGAUUAGCUAGUUGGUGGGGUAAAGGCCUACCAAGGCGACGAUCUGUAGCGGGUCUGAGAGGAUGAUCCGCCACACUGGGACUGAGACACGGCCCAGACUCCUACGGGAGGCAGCAGUGGGGAAUAUUGGACAAUGGGGGGAACCCUGAUCCAGCUAUGCCGCGUGUGUGAAGAAGGCCUUAUGGUUGUAAAGCACUUUAAGCGAGGAGGAGGCUCUUUUGGUUAAUACCCAAGAUGAGUGGACGUUACUCGCAGAAUAAGCACCGGCUAACUCUGUGCCAGCAGCCGCAGUAA
RNAcentral lists this ribosomal RNA (503 nucleotides) under uncultured bacterium. RNAcentral's name for it is "partial 16S ribosomal RNA". It matches the Rfam family "Bacterial small subunit ribosomal RNA", at positions 30 to 523 of the family's 1533-position model. The record is from RNAcentral.